RNAcentral lists this ribosomal RNA (216 nucleotides) under uncultured bacterium. Its description in RNAcentral is "partial 16S ribosomal RNA". It matches the Rfam family "Bacterial small subunit ribosomal RNA", at positions 118 to 351 of the family's 1533-position model. The record is from RNAcentral.
UGGGAACGUGCCCUUUGGUUCGGAAUAACUCAGGGAAACUUGAACUAAUACCGAAUAAGCCCUUACGGGGAAAGAUUUAUUGCCGAAGGAGCGGCCCGCGUCCGAUUAGCUAGUUGGUGAGGUAACGGCUCACCAAGGCUACGAUCGGUAGCUGGUCUGAGAGGAUGACCAGCCACACUGGGACUGAGACACGGCCCAGACUCCUACGGGAGGCAG